GUCUCGGCCUCGGGAGGACCGGCUGCGGCCGCGACUGCGCAGGCGCCGCGCCCAUACCAGGAACGCGCACCAGAGCGCAGACGCGUCACAGUCAACCACGAGAUCGCGUACUUUUCAGACUCGGCCGAAUGAAUGACCUCCCAAUCGGGAGCGCCCUCGACCCAUCGCAGCACGCGCGAGCGAUCCUUGGACAUCUUGACCGUCACGUGGUACCCGUGCCGCCGAGACUGUACACCGACACAGAUCGGCUUGCCGCGCCGUUGCGCUUUCAACGCGCCCGCCCAGGCGCCGUACAGCCACGGCCAGUCUUUGCCCGAGACGAGUGCGCGCGCAAAGGGCGGGGGCAGACCGACGUCGACAGGGCUCGGCGUCGGCAGGGUGUGAGACGCAGCCAGCAGACGUUCGUACAUGGCGCGCGCCUCGGGCGGCCAGUCGUCGGCACACAGGGCAUAACGCGCAGACGAUGAAACAGAUGACGUGGCAAAGAGUUGAGGAAAAUCGCGCCGAAACAGACGGCGCCAUAGACGGGGCUCGCGCGCCACCAGGCGAAAGCGCCUGGUCGCCAUUGACAUGCCGCACAAGUCACGUGCGUCCAGACGCUCGGCGAUGGCCAGGACGAUUUCGUCGGGCAGGUGCGCCAUGGUCGUCGAGUCGGGUACCCACAGAAAGCAACGUCUGCGCGGGAACCGGGAGAUCGCGUCGGGCUAGUGUCUGGAAGAGGCGACGAGGAAGGACAGAGCCAGUCGCACCUUGGAGUCGUCUGCGGGUUCAACAAAGUCGGUCGACGCCUUUUUUUCGUCUGCGCAAACCCACCGCCUCCUCAAACCAAUCAGGGCUAGCAUCGUCAAUAAAAAAUGUUUUGUC
This 864-nucleotide long non-coding RNA is filed under the name Pandoravirus salinus. RNAcentral describes it as "putative ncRNA". The record is from RNAcentral.